GAUGAACGCUAGCGGCAGGCUUAAUACAUGCAAGUCGAGGGGCAGCGCAGUGUAGCAAUACAUGGGCGGCGACCGGCAAACGGGUGCGGAACACGUACGCAACCUUCCUUUAAGUGGGGGAUAGCCCAGGGAAACUUGGAUUAAUACCCCGUAAUAUUAUGAAGUGGCAUCACUUUAUACUUAUAGCUCCGGCGCUUAAAGAUGGGCGUGCGACUGAUUAGGUAGUUGGCGGGGUAACGGCCCACCAAGCCUGCGAUCAGUAACUGGUGUGGGAGCACGAGCAGUGACACGGGCAAUGAGACACGGGCCCGGCUCCUACGGGAGGAAGCAGUAAGGAAUAUUGGUCAAUGGACGCAAGUAUGAACCAGCCAUGCCGCGUGGAGGAUGAAGGUCCUCUGGAUUGUAAACUUCUUUUAUUUGGGAAGAAACCCACUGUUUCUACGGUGGUUGACGGUACCAGAUGAAUAAGCACCGGCUAACUCCGUGCCAGCAGCCGCGGUAA
Molecule: ribosomal RNA, 502 nt
Filed under: uncultured bacterium
Lineage: Bacteria
Description: partial 16S ribosomal RNA
Rfam family: Bacterial small subunit ribosomal RNA
Source: RNAcentral